This 3975-nucleotide unclassified non-coding RNA is filed under the name Hevea brasiliensis (rubber tree). The record is from RNAcentral. Lineage: Eukaryota; Viridiplantae; Streptophyta; Magnoliopsida; Malpighiales; Euphorbiaceae.
UAUGGAAACAUACUUGACCAGGAAACUCAGCUUGUACCAUACCGGCGAAAUAUGCAAGAUCUCCUUUGUGACUCAGGAAUGAAUCCCUAUCCAGAACCUUAUCAGAGUAUGUACCAGAAGAGACGGUUAGGAGCUCUGAAUAUGGAGUGGAAACCACCUUCUAUAAAACUUGCAGCUGGGCCUGACUUCAGCUUAGACCCAGAUUACCAAAUGUUGCCCUUGGCAGACUUGGAUGUAUUGGUUGAGCCGCUGCCUGAGUUUGUAGAUGCCGUGGAUUGGGAACCAGGAAAUGAAGUGCAUAGUGAUGAUACUGAUUCAGAGUACAAUGUUACUGAAGAGUAUUCUACUGGGGGUGAGCAAGGAAGUUUAAAUUCUAAUUCAUCUGUUGAUCCUGAGUGCAGUGCAGAGGACAGUGAGGUUGAGGGUAGGGAUGGCUCUCAUAGAUCUAAAAGGAAAAAACAGAAAGCCGAAAUUGAGAUAAUGACUUCUUCAGGGAGACGUGUUAAAAGGAGGAAUUUGGAUGAUUGUGAUGGCAAUACAUUCAGAAGUAACGAAACUAGGAAAUCAAGGAUUGGACGGAAAGCUUCAAAGAGGAAGUCUUCCACAUUGAAGGCUUUGAGACCUCAAAGAGCUGCUGCCCGCAAUGCUCUCACCUUGUUCUCAAAAAUUACUGGAACGGAUACAGAUGGAGAAGAUGAAGAUAGUUCAGAAGGUGAUUCAUCAGAAAGUGAAUCCACACUGCAACACUCAGACAUCCAGAGUGAUGAAUCAGAGAGAUCUUUGCGAAAUGAGCGAAACAGGCAUUUGAAAGGGAAAGAAGUUUCAUUAGAAGAGCCUGAAGAAGUUGUUAAAUCUCAUGAACUUCCUGAAUCACAUAUGAAUGCUGGAAACAGGAGAAGAUUGAUCCUUAAACUGCCAGUUCGAGAUCCAACCAAGAUUGUUAUGCCAGAUAGUAGAACACCUAAUGGCAAUCAGGUUGAUUUAGUUGGUUCAUCAUCCCACAAAGCUCCACAAGAAGCCACUGAGGUAGAUAGGGUUCAUAUAAGAUCAGUAGAUUUCGGAUACACUUCUAGUUAUGCAGACUGCAGCACAGUGAAAGGAAGAGGAAAAGGGCAAACAGAAAGCUCUCAUUUAGAUCUAUCAGAAGGAUACAAAAAUGGGAAUAUCAAAUGGGGAGGUGUCAAGGCUCGUACAUCUAAGCGUCAGCGAUUUGGAGAAGCCAUGUCAUCAGCUACCCAUGCCUCAUUUAGUGUAGGUCUUAAUGAUAAACAAGAGGAGAAUAAUGUGAAUGGAUACUUAAAACCUCAGAAUAUUUCUAGCGCAACAUCCCCUUCUCUGGAAGUUCAAGAUUAUGCGGAUAAGAUGCGUGAAGUGGCAGCAAUGAGUGGAGUAAAUAUUGGGACUGAUACCUCUGAGGUUGUGAAUAAUCUGGCCAAUGGUAAAAAGCACCUCAGCUUUGAUGGGUGCAUUGAUUCUGAUGAAUUGCCAAAAUUGGCUCACAUAGCUAAUGGGAAUGAUAAACCUCCUGAAUUCAAAGAGAGUAAUACAAUUAUCUCAACAAAGUUAAGGAUAAUGUCGAGGAAGAUUUCAAGAGAUUCUUCAGAGAAUCAGGGAAAUGACGGCUGUGAUUUAUUACCUGAUAGCCAUGCAGAGAUGAAACAGAAUCCAGUUUCAGAAGUGUAUGAACGUGAGAUGACCAGUAGAAUUACUCCAGUUAAUAGUUACAAUGAAUUUCAAAAAGCAGAUCCUCUGAUUGAUGAAAUUUCCGUGCCGACAUUGGAUGACUCAAUAGGUUCCCAUUCGCAUCCAAAAAAGAUGUAUAAUGUUGUUUAUAGAAGGUCAAAGUUAAGUAGAGAUAGAGCUAAUUCAGAAAGUGAUAUUGGCACGAGAGAGAGCAUUUCACAUGCUAGUACAAAUGAACAGUAUGCCAGAGGUGACUUAAAUGAAGAUACUAAUGAAGGAGCUCAAACAAAGCAUAUCAUGGGCUCAAAGGUGACAGAUGAUAUGAUGAACUGUAGUUUUAUGUUGGGACAGGAACAUGAAUCAGAGGAUAGGUAUAGAAAUGCCCAUAAUGGUUCCAUUAGCAGACAUCAACUUCCUGGUGAAGAAUGGGGAUCAAGCUCAAGAAUGACAGUUGGAUUAAGAUCUACCAGAAAUAGGAGAACCAGUUAUUAUUUCCGUGAUGCUAGUCCAGUAGAUAGAAGGAAAUCAAAUCAAUCUGCCAAAAGAGGAUCAUGGUUAAUGUUGUCAAUGCAUGAGGAGGGCUCUCAUUAUAUUCCCCAGCUAGCAGAUGAAGUAGUAUAUCUAAGACAGGGGCAUCAAGAGUACCUAGACUACAUUAAAUCAAAAGAUCCAGGCCCUUGGAAGUUGGUCAAGGGACAUAUAAGGGCAGUGGAAUUCUGUAAAGUUGAAGGCCUUGAGUAUUCCACGGUACCAGGAUCAGGAGAUAGUUGCUGCAAAAUGACACUUAAAUUUGUAGAUCCUACAUCUAAUGUAUUCCAGCAAUCAUUUCAAUUAACUCUGCCUGAAGUGGCAGGGUUCCCAGAUUUUCUUGUUGAAAGAACUCGGUUUGAUGCUGCUAUGCAAAGAAAUUGGACAUGCAGGGAUAAGUGUAAAGUAUGGUGGAAAAAUGAUGGUGAAGAAGAUGGCAGUUGGUGGGCUGGCCGGAUUCUGUCUGUAAAGCCAAAAUCUUCUGAGUUUCCAGACAGUCCAUGGGAGAGGUACACUAUUCAAUACAGGAGUGACCCCAGAGAAACACAUCAACACAGUCCUUGGGAGCUUUUUGAAGAUGAUACUGAAUGGGAGCAGCCUCAUAUUGAUGAUGAGAUUAAAGACAAGCUAAUUUCUGCCUUGGCCAAAUUAGAGCAGUCUGGCAAAAAAAUACAGGUUCAGGAUUAUUAUGGUGUUGAGAAAUUAAUACAAGUGUCGCAGAAGAGCAAUUUUACAAACAGGUAAACUCUUCUCUUUUUGGCCUUUUCUCGCUUUUCUUCAGUGGCCAUUUUUUUGUCCCUUGCAUGAACUAUAUAAUGGGGAUUGGCUUUCUCAAUUCUCAGUCCUCCUUACCCUUAUUCUAAUGUUACUUGAAUUACUGUCCUAGUGGAAAUUCCAAAAUUGUUGGUGUGUUACAAUCCCUGGUUUGUGAUCUAGAUGUAGGGCGACUGAUUUGAAUAUCAAAGAAAGGGUUCUAGGUGUGUACUCGUGUUUUGCUUGAGAGGAUUUAAGUUGUGUUUCAACUCCCAACGUUGCUCCAAACCCACUCAAGGACAAAGAAAUGUGUUUAUCCAAUUGCAAAGAAUGGCACUGCUCCGUACCCGCAAUUCUUCUCUCCUUACAACCCAAAGCUGCAACUGAGCCAAUAAAGCUGCAUCCAAAAAAACCUAUGUGUGCUUAAUUAACACAACCAUGGAUUGGCAUGUGACGUGUCCCUCAACUUGCAUGAUCUGUAGCAUGUGUAAUCCUAAAAUACAUGAAUAAAAAUUUUUGGUUCUCCAUUUGAAUUUUGAAUAAAAUGGAAGAGAGUUCUUGUUUGGGAGAGAAAACAAUCUCAAUUAACGCUUGAGUUUUGAGGAAAUUCAACAUACUGAUUUCACUGAGCAAUCUUGCUUAAAUACAACUGAAUAUACAAAAUAACACUAAAUAACCAUCCACUAAUUUGAAACUAAUUCCAAGUUUAUAGCCCACAGAGAGAUGAAGGAAAGAAAGCAUAAACUGAAAAUGACUAUCCUCAUCCACAAUUCCAUUAAGCUAAGUUAUUCCUCCUACAUUGAUUCUUGACUAUAGCAGUGUAUCCCUUUGAGUACAUUUUGAAUUAUGAUAAAUCUUUUUGGGUUCAUUUGGAGUCCUAUUGAUCCUAGGACAGUAAAAUGGGCAUUUAAAUGCUAAAUCAAUAGCGGUUUCUGGCAUCGGUAUGAUCUGUCUUAACUAGUCAAAUGCAUACACCUCUAUUAUUUGAACAUAACGGAAAUAUAGAGCCUU